RNAcentral lists this ribosomal RNA (460 nucleotides) under uncultured bacterium. Its description in RNAcentral is "partial 16S ribosomal RNA". It matches the Rfam family "Bacterial small subunit ribosomal RNA", at positions 338 to 795 of the family's 1533-position model. The record is from RNAcentral.
CCUACGGGUGGCUGCAGUGAGGAAUAUUGGUCAAUGGGCGGAAGCCUGAACCAGCAAAGUCGCGUGAGGGAAUAAGGCCCUACGGGUCGUAAACCUCUUUUGCCGGGGAGCAAGGGCGGGGACGUGUCCCGGCCCGUAGAGUACCCGGAGAAAAAUCAUCGGCGAACUCCGUGCCAGCGGCCGCGGUAAUACGGAGGAUGCGAGGGUUAUCCGGAUUUAUUUUGUUUAAAGGGUGCGUAGGCGGGCUUUUAAGUAAGCGGUAAAAAUUCGGGGCUCAACCCCGUCCGGCCGUUGACACUGGGGGCCUUGAGUGGGCGAGAAGAAGGCGGAAUGCGUGGUGUAGCGGUGAAAUGCAUAGAUAUCACGCAGAACCCCGAUUGCGAAGGCAGCCUUCCGGCGCCCUACUGACGCUGAGGCACGAAAGUGCGGGGAGCGAACAGGAUUAGAUACCCGAGUAGUC